Molecule: ribosomal RNA, 742 nt
Filed under: uncultured bacterium
Lineage: Bacteria
Description: bacterial SSU rRNA
Rfam family: Bacterial small subunit ribosomal RNA
Source: RNAcentral
AGAGUUUGAUCCUGGCUCAGAGCGAACGCUGGCGGCAGGCCUAACACAUGCAAGUCGAGCGCCGUAGCAAUACGGAGCGGCAGACGGGAGAGUAACACGUGGGAACGUACCCUUUGGUUCGGAACAACCCAGGGAAACUUGGGCUAAUACCGGAUAAGCCCUCACGGGGAAAGAUUUAUCGCCGAAGGAUCGGCCCGCGUCUGAUUAGCUAGUUGGUGGGGUAAUGGCCCACCAAGGCGACGAUCAGUAGCUGGUCUGAGAGGAUGAUCAGCCUCACUGGGACUGAGACACGGCCCAGACUCCUACGGGAGGCAGCAGUGGGGAAUAUUGGACAAUGGGCGCAAGCCUGAUCCAGCCAUGCCGCGUGGGUGAUGAAGGCCCUAGGGUUGUAAAGCCCUUUCGGCGGGGAAGAUAAUGACGGUACCCGCAGAAGAAGCCCCGGCUAACUUCGUGCCAGCAGCCGCGGUAAUACGAAGGGGGCUAGCGUUGCUCGGAAUCACUGGGCGUAAAGCGCACGUAGGCGGAUCGCUAAGUCAGGGGUGAAAUCCUGGAGCUCAACUCCAGAACUGCCUUUGAUACUGGCAAUCUCGAGUCCGGGAGAGGUGAGUGGAACUGCGAGUGUAGAGGUGAAAUUCGUAGAUAUUGGGAAGAACACCGGUGGCGAAGGCGGCUCUCUGGACCGAGACUGACGCUGAGGCGCGAAAGCGUGGGGAGCAAACAGGAUUAGAUACCCUAGUAGUCC